AUGGAAAUCAGAUUUAUUAAAGGGAAAAGUAGGCUACUGUGAUUUUUAAAAAAUGGAUAAAGACACUACUGAGCAUGAGUCUUGCAGGAGUAAUAACGGGAAAGAGAGAGAUACUUGGUUUCUACCAGUGUGGCUGGAUAUGUUUCUGUAUCAGGAGUGGGACUUUCCUUCAUGUGCUUAGUCACAUAAUUCACCUAGAACUUGAGGGGAUAGGUGAAUGGUUGAAAAUGUGAGACAGGCAUGUAAAAUAAAGGGAAAUGAAUACGUAAAAGGGCUGGAUGGGAAAUUAUUUUGUGCUGACUUCCGUGCACAAAAUAAUUUAUGGAAAUAGUCCUUCAACAUAUAUCUGUAAGAGUGAAAACUCUGGGCUAGAGAACUAGUUUAGAAAUAAAGGGAAAACCCUAUCUUUUGGAAUCCUACUU
This 422-nucleotide long non-coding RNA is filed under the name Bos taurus (domestic cattle). Its description in RNAcentral is "long non-coding RNA NONBTAT015899". Lineage: Eukaryota; Metazoa; Chordata; Mammalia; Artiodactyla; Bovidae. The record is from RNAcentral.